UGGGGAAUUUUGGUCAAUGGGCGAAAGCCUGAACCAGCAACGCCGCGUGCAGGAUGAAGGCCCUCGGGUCGUAAACUGCUGUCAGGAGGGAAGAACGGUCCGGCGAUCAAUACCUGUCGGGCGUGACGGUACCUCCAAAGGAAGCACCGGCUAACUCCGUGCCAGCAGCCGCGGUAAUACGGAGGGUGCAAGCGUUGUUCGGAAUUACUGGGCGUAAAGCGCGUGUAGGCGGCUUGGUAAGUCGGAUGUGAAAGCCCGGAGCUCAACUCCGGAACUGCAUCCGAAACUGCCUCGCUAGAGUCCCGGAGAGGAAGGCAGAAUUCCCAGUGUAGGGGUGAAAUCCGUAGAUAUUGGGAGGAAUACCAGUGGCGAAGGCGGCCUUCUGGACGGUGACUGACGCUGAGACGCGAAAGCGUGGGGAGCAAACAGGAUUAGAUACCCGCGUAGUCC
RNAcentral lists this ribosomal RNA (450 nucleotides) under uncultured prokaryote. RNAcentral describes it as "bacterial SSU rRNA". It matches the Rfam family "Bacterial small subunit ribosomal RNA", at positions 355 to 796 of the family's 1533-position model. The record is from RNAcentral.